RNAcentral lists this ribosomal RNA (500 nucleotides) under uncultured bacterium. RNAcentral's name for it is "bacterial SSU rRNA". It matches the Rfam family "Bacterial small subunit ribosomal RNA", at positions 28 to 507 of the family's 1533-position model. The record is from RNAcentral.
GACGAACGCUGGCGGCGUGCCUAAUACAUGCAAGUCGAGCGAAAAUUUGAGAGCUUGCUCUCAAAUUUUUAGCGGCGGACGGGUGAGUAACACGUGGGCAACCUGCCCUGUAGACUGGGAUAACUUCGGGAAACCGAAGCUAAUACCGGAUAAUCUUUUGUGCCACAUGGCAUGAAAGUAAAAGUUGGGGUUUUACCUAACACUACAGGAUGGGCCCGCGGCGCAUUAGCUAGUUGGUAAGGUAAUGGCUUACCAAGGCGACGAUGCGUAGCCGACCUGAGAGGGUGAUCGGCCACACUGGGACUGAGACACGGCCCAGACUCCUACGGGAGGCAGCAGUAGGGAAUCUUCCGCAAUGGACGAAAGUCUGACGGAGCAACGCCGCGUGAACGAUGAAGGCCUUCGGGUCGUAAAGUUCUGUUGUUAGGGAAGAACAAGUACCGUUCAAAUAGGGCGGUACCUUGACGGUACCUAACCAGAAAGCCACGGCUAACUACGUG